This 297-nucleotide ribosomal RNA is filed under the name Azospirillum formosense. RNAcentral's name for it is "partial 23S ribosomal RNA". It matches the Rfam family "Bacterial large subunit ribosomal RNA", at positions 1 to 304 of the family's 2925-position model. Lineage: Bacteria; Pseudomonadati; Pseudomonadota; Alphaproteobacteria; Rhodospirillales; Azospirillaceae. The record is from RNAcentral.
AGGAUCAAGCGUCUGAAGGGCAUCUGGUGAAUGCCUUGGCACUGAGAGGCGAUGAAGGACGCAGCACGUUGCGAUAAGCCAUGGGGAGCCGCGAGCAGGCUUUGAUCCGUGGAUUUCCGAAUGGGGCAACCCACCGCGCAAGCGGUAUCCUCACCUGAAUUCAUAGGGUGGGGAGGCGAACCCGGCGAACUGAAACAUCUAAGUAGCCGGAGGAAAGGACAUCAACCGAGACUCCGCUAGUAGUGGCGAGCGAACGCGGACCAGGCCAGUGGUUGGACCGACAUAACCGGAAGCGUC